This 107-nucleotide small nuclear RNA is filed under the name Catagonus wagneri (Chacoan peccary). Lineage: Eukaryota; Metazoa; Chordata; Mammalia; Artiodactyla; Tayassuidae. The record is from RNAcentral.
GUGAUUGCUUCAGCAGCACAUAUACUAACAUUGGAAUGAUACAGAGAAGAUCAGCCUGGCUCCUGUACAAGGAUGACAUGCACAUUCGUGAAGCUGUCCCUGUUUUU